CACCGCCGCGGUAAUACCGGCGGCCCGAGUGGCGGUCACUAUUAUUGGGCUUAAAGCGUCCGUAGCCGGGUUGGGGAGUCCUCCGGGAAAUCUGGCCGCUUAACGGUCAGAAUGCCGGAGGAUACUCCCAGCCUAGGGAGCGGGAGAGGCCGAGGGUAUUCCCGGAGUAGGGGUGAAAUCCUAUAAUCCCGGGAGGACCACCUGUGGCGAAGGCGCUCGGCUGGAACGCGUCCGACGGUGAGGGACGAAGGCCAGGGGAGCAAACCGGAUUAGAUACCCGGGUAGUCCUGGCUGUAAACGAUGCGGACUUUGUGUCGGACAAGCUAUGAGCUUGUCCGGUGCCGGAGGGAAACCGUUAAGUCCGCCGCCUGGGGAGUACGGCCGCAAGGCUGAAACUUAAAGGAAUUGGCGGG
Molecule: ribosomal RNA, 413 nt
Filed under: uncultured microorganism
Description: bacterial SSU rRNA
Rfam family: Archaeal small subunit ribosomal RNA
Source: RNAcentral